AGAUUGAACGCUAGCGGGAUGCUUUACACAUGCAAGUCGAACGGCAGCGCGGACUUCGGUCUGGCGGCGAGUGGCGAACGGGUGAGUAAUAUAUCGGAACGUGCCCAGUAGCGGGGGAUAACUACGCGAAAGCGUGGCUAAUACCGCAUACGCCCUACGGGGGAAAGGGGGGAUCGCAAGACCUCUCACUAUUGGAGCGGCCGAUAUCAGAUUAGCUAGUUGGUGAGGUAAAGGCUCACCAAGGCGACGAUCUGUAGCUGGUUUGAGAGGACGACCAGCCACACUGGGACUGAGACACGGCCCAGACUCCUACGGGAGGCAGCAGUGGGGAAUUUGGGCAAUGGGGGAAACCUGAUCCAGCCAAUCCCGCGUGUGCGAUGAAGGCCUUCGGGUUGUAAGCACUUUGUUAGGAAAGAAAGACAUUCGGUUAAUACCGGUGUUCUGACGGUAACCAAAGAAUAAAGACACCGGCUAAACUUCGUAGCCAGCAGACCGCGGU
Molecule: ribosomal RNA, 499 nt
Filed under: uncultured soil bacterium
Lineage: Bacteria
Description: bacterial SSU rRNA
Rfam family: Bacterial small subunit ribosomal RNA
Source: RNAcentral